CAAUAGCGUAUAUUUAAGUUGUUGCAGUUAAAAAGCUCGUAGUUGGAUUUCGGGUUGGCUUCAGCGGUCUCGCUUUGCGUUUGUACUUCUGCAGCCUACCUUCUUGUCGGGGACGGGCCUUCGGGCUUAAUUGCUUGGGGCCCGGAGUCGACGAUGUUACUUUGAGUAAAUUAGAGUGUUCAAAGCAAGCCUACGCUCUGAAUAUAAUAGCAUGGGAUAACACGACAGGACUCUGGCCUAUCGUGUUGGUCUGUAGGACCAGAGUAAUGAUUAAGAGGGACAGUCGGGGGCAUUCGUAUUCCGUUGUCAGAGGUGAAAUUCUUGGAUUUACGGAAGACGAACAUCUGCGAAAGCAUUUGCCAAGGAUGUUUUCAUUGA
Molecule: ribosomal RNA, 378 nt
Filed under: uncultured eukaryote
Lineage: Eukaryota
Description: partial 18S ribosomal RNA
Rfam family: Eukaryotic small subunit ribosomal RNA
Source: RNAcentral